Molecule: ribosomal RNA, 385 nt
Filed under: uncultured bacterium
Lineage: Bacteria
Description: bacterial SSU rRNA
Rfam family: Bacterial small subunit ribosomal RNA
Source: RNAcentral
AAUGGGGGCAACCCUGAUCCAGCAAUGCCGCGUGAGUGAUGAAGGCCUUCGGGUUGUAAAGCUCUUUUGUCGGGGACGAUGAUGACGGUACCCGACGAAUAAGCUCCGGCUAACUUCGUGCCAGCAGCCGCGGUAAUACGAAGGGAGCUAGCGUUGUUCGGAAUGACUGGGCGUAAAGGGCGCGUAGGCGGUUUUAUAAGUUUGAUGUGAAAGCCCUGGGCUAAACCUAGGAAUAGAAUUGGAUAGUGUAAGACUAGAGUCCGAGAGGGGGAAAUGGAAUUGCGAGUGUAGAGGUGAAAUUCGUAGAUAUUCGAAAGAACACCAGGGGCGAAGGCGAUUUCCGGGCUCGGUACUGACGCUAAGGCGCGAAAGCGUGGGGAGCAAA